Molecule: ribosomal RNA, 497 nt
Filed under: uncultured bacterium
Lineage: Bacteria
Description: partial 16S ribosomal RNA
Rfam family: Bacterial small subunit ribosomal RNA
Source: RNAcentral
GGGGGGGGGGGGGGGGGGGGGGGGGGGGGGCAGGGCGGGGGGACGGAGGGGGGGGUUGCGGCUCUGACGGUAGCGGCGGACGGGGGAGUAACACGUGGAUAACCUACCUAUAAGACUGGGAUAACUGCGGGAAACCGGAGCUAAUACCGGAUAAUAUAUUGAACCGCAUGGGUCAUUAGUGAAAGACGGUUUUGCUGUCACUUAUAGAUGGAUCCGCGCCGCAUUAGCUAGUUGGUCAGGUAACGGCUUACCAAGGCAACGAUGCGUAGCCGACCUGAGCGGGGGGUCGGCCACACGGGAACGGAGACGCGGUCCAGAGUCCUACGGGAGGCAGCAGUAGGGAAUCUGCCGCAAUGGGCGAAAGCCUGACGGAGCAACGCCGCGUGAGUGAUGAAGGUGUUCGGAUCGUAAAACUCUGUUAUGAGGGAAGAACAAAUGUGUAAGUAACUAUGCACGUCUUGACGGUACCUAAUCAGAAAGCCACGGCUAACUACGUG